This 443-nucleotide ribosomal RNA is filed under the name uncultured bacterium. RNAcentral's name for it is "partial 16S ribosomal RNA". It matches the Rfam family "Bacterial small subunit ribosomal RNA", at positions 338 to 795 of the family's 1533-position model. The record is from RNAcentral.
CCUACGGGAGGCAGCAGUGGGGAAUAUUGGGCAAUGGGCGCAAGCCUGAUCCAGCAACGCCGCGUGAAGGAAGAAGGCUUUCGGGUUGUAAACCUCUUUUCUCAGGGACGAAGCAAGUGACGGUACAUGAGGAAUAAGCCACGGCUAACUACGUGCCAGCAGCCGCGGUACUACGUAGGUGGCAAGCGUUAACCGGAUUUACUGGGUGUAAAGGGAGUGUAGGUGGGAAGGCAAGUCAGAUGUGAAAACCAUGGGCUCAACCUGUGGCCUGCAUUUGAAACUGUUUUACUUGAGUGCUGGAGAGGCAGACGGAAUUCCUAGUGUAGCGGUGAAAUGCGUAGAUAUUAGGAAGAACACCAGUGGCGAAGGCGGUUUGCUGGACCGCAACUGACGCUGAGGCGCGAAAGCGUGGGGAGCAAACAGGAUUAGAUACCCGUGUAGUC